RNAcentral lists this ribosomal RNA (592 nucleotides) under Rhodosporidiobolus ruineniae. RNAcentral's name for it is "partial large subunit ribosomal RNA". It matches the Rfam family "Eukaryotic large subunit ribosomal RNA", at positions 51 to 655 of the family's 3401-position model. The record is from RNAcentral. Lineage: Eukaryota; Fungi; Basidiomycota; Microbotryomycetes; Sporidiobolales; Sporidiobolaceae.
CGGAGGAAAAGAAACUAACAAGGAUUCCCCUAGUAGCGGCGAGCGAAGCGGGAAGAGCUCAAAUUUAUAAUCUGGCGCUUUCGGCGUCCGAGUUGUAAUCUCUAGAAGUGUUUUCCGCGUUGGACCGCACAUAAGUCUGUUGGAAUACAGCGGCACAGUGGUGAGACCCCCGUUCACGGUGCGGAUGCCCAAUGCUUUGUGAUACACUUUCGAAGAGUCGAGUUGUUUGGGAAUGCAGCUCAAAUUGGGUGGUAAAUUCCAUCUAAAGCUAAAUAUUGGCGAGAGACCGAUAGCGAACAAGUACCGUGAGGGAAAGAUGAAAAGCACUUUGGAAAGAGAGUUAACAGUACGUGAAAUUGUUGGAAGGGAAACGCUUGAAGUCAGACUUGCUAUUCGGGGCUUGCUCCGAGUUGCAGGCCAGCAUCAGUUUUUCGGGGCGGAAAAUCACGGAUUGAAGGUAGCAGUUUCGGCUGUGUUAUAGCUUUCCGUUGGAUACGUCCUGGGGGACUGAGGAACGCAGUGUGCUUUUAGCGAGGGCUUCGGCUCUUUCACACUUAGGAUGCUGGUGGAAUGGCUUUAAACGACCCGUCUU